This 357-nucleotide unclassified non-coding RNA is filed under the name uncultured Myxotrichum. RNAcentral describes it as "sequence contains ITS2". The stretch from base 1 to 154 matches the Rfam family "5.8S ribosomal RNA". The record is from RNAcentral. Lineage: Eukaryota; Fungi; Ascomycota; Leotiomycetes; Myxotrichaceae.
AACUUUUAACAAUGGAUCUCUUAGUUCUGGCAUCGAUGAAGAACGCAGCGAAAUGCGAUAAGUAAUGCGAAUUGCAGAAUUCAGUGAGUCAUCGAAUCUUUGAACGCACAUUGCGCCCUGUGGUAUUCCGCAGGGCAUGCCUGUUCGAGCGUCAUUUCAACCCUCAAGCCCUGCUUGGUGUUAGGCCAUGCCCUCGUGGCCGGCCCCAAAGCCAGUGGCGGUGCCGUCCGGCUCUAAGCGUAGUACAUCUCUCGCUCUAGGGUCCGGCGGUUGCCUGCCAGAACACAAACUCUUAUGGUUGACCUCGGAUCAGGUAGGGAUACCCGCUGAACUUAAGCAUAUCAAUAAGCGGAGGCU